UUUAAAAAAAAAACCCAAAUACCCAAUUUAAUAAUUCCCUUAAUUUGCACCAAGACAAGUACAAAAGAAAACAAACAUAAACCUAUUUAUCCCUUUCUA
Molecule: long non-coding RNA, 99 nt
Organism: Gopherus evgoodei (Goodes thornscrub tortoise)
Lineage: Eukaryota; Metazoa; Chordata; Testudines; Testudinidae
Exons: 3
Source: RefSeq, a predicted model, not a curated record